UAGGGAACUUCCACAAUGGACGCAAGUCUGAUGGAGCAACGCCGCGUGAGUGAAGAAGGUUUUCGGCCGUAAAGCUCUGUUGUUGGUGAAGAAGGAUAGAGGUAGUAACUGGCCUUUAUUUGACGGUAAUCAACCAGAAAGUCACGGCUAACUACGUGCCAGCAGCCGCGGUAAUACGUAGGUGGCAAGCGUUGUCCGGAUUUAUUGGGCGUAAAGCGAGCGCAGGCGGAAGAAUAAGUCUGAUGUGAAAGCCCUCGGCUUAACCGAGGAAUUGCAUCGGAAACUGUUUUCUUGAGUGCAGAAGAGGAGAGUAGAACUCCAUGUGUAGCGGUGGAAUGCGUAGAUAUAUGGAAGAAUACCAGUGGCGAAGGCGGCUCUCUGGUCUGCAACUGACGCUGAGGCUCGAAAGCAUGGGUAGCGAACAGGAUUAGAUACCCUGGUAGUCCAUGCCGUAAACGAUGAGUGCUAAGUGUUGGGAGGCUUCCGCCUCUCAGUGCUGCAGCUAACGCAUUAAGCACUCCGCCUGGGGGAGUACGACCGC
Molecule: ribosomal RNA, 541 nt
Filed under: uncultured bacterium
Lineage: Bacteria
Description: partial 16S ribosomal RNA
Rfam family: Bacterial small subunit ribosomal RNA
Source: RNAcentral